GACGAACGCGGCGGCGUGCCUAAUACAUGCAAGUAGAACGCUGAAGGAGGAGCUUGCUUCUCUGGAUGAGUUGCGAACGGGUGAGUAACGCGUAGGUAACCUGCCUGGUAGCGGGGGAUAACUAUUGGAAACGAUAGCUAAUACCGCAUAAGAGUAGAUGUUGCAUGACAUUUGCUUAAAAGGUGCAAUUGCAUCACUACCAGAUGGACCUGCGUUGUAUUAGCUAGUUGGUGGGGUAACGGCUCACCAAGGCGACGAUACAUAGCCGACCUGAGAGGGUGAUCGGCCACACUGGGACUGAGACACGGCCCAGACUCCUACGGGAGGCAGCAGUAGGGAAUCUUCGGCAAUGGACGGAAGUCUGACCGAGCAACGCCGCGUGAGUGAAGAAGGUUUUCGGAUCGUAAAGCUCUGUUGUAAGAGAAGAAACGAAGUGUGAGAAGU
RNAcentral lists this ribosomal RNA (444 nucleotides) under Streptococcus mitis. Its description in RNAcentral is "bacterial SSU rRNA". It matches the Rfam family "Bacterial small subunit ribosomal RNA", at positions 28 to 465 of the family's 1533-position model. The record is from RNAcentral. Lineage: Bacteria; Bacillati; Bacillota; Bacilli; Lactobacillales; Streptococcaceae.